UGCCCCAUGGCUGAGUUGGUUACAGCGUCCGACUGUUAUUACGACAUCGGAAGGUCGUGAGUUCGAGCCUCACUGGGGCAG
Molecule: transfer RNA, 81 nt
Filed under: Armillaria gallica
Lineage: Eukaryota; Fungi; Basidiomycota; Agaricomycetes; Agaricales; Physalacriaceae
Description: tRNA-Asn
Rfam family: tRNA
About the family: Transfer RNA (tRNA) molecules are approximately 80 nucleotides in length. Their secondary structure includes four short double-helical elements and three loops (D, anti-codon, and T loops).
Source: RNAcentral